UCUCUCUUUGGCCCCGCAUACAGGAGGCACAAAGCUCUGGCUCUGGUUGUUCUGCCUUCCUUGGGACAAGGGCAAGAGCCAAUCACUUACUCUAGCUGUCUGCUGCCUGUAUAGUCAAACUGUUUUAGAUGGUCUGUCAAAAUUUCCAUGGGAAAGCCUCUUUGAGGUGCUCUGCCAGCACAAGGCUAUCAGUGCAGCACACUCACUUUUUUGUGUCUUCACACUGUGCCAUGGUGACAUGCACAGUGAGAGCAAAGACUUUGCUCUCAAAGGUUUUGUUUUCUCAUGAGUGAAGGACCUUUGCACUGUGGUGUUUCUCAUUUAGCAGCUGCCCCAGAGCCCUGCAGAGAAAGCAAUGGGUGAUGCGCAGUGAGCUCGGAGGAUGAGCAUGGCAGGUCAUCGUGGGACAAUGUGGCUUCUUCCUGUUGUCCUCCUUUUCCUUCAGAUGAGGCAGACAGGUUGGACCCUGAGAUCUUCUCUACAUAAAACAUCUGUAAAUUUGGUGCAAAUCUGGUCAAGAACCUAUGCUACUUGAUUGAAAGACUGUAUGGAGUGCAAAUCUCCACAUAGGUGAGUCUGAAGACCUCUGACACUGAUAUUUUCACAGCAACAUGCAAGACAAAAGAGAGUGUUUUCUCAUUGCUUUUUUACCUCAUUCCAGACUGGAAGGACUACCAUAAAUUGAGAUGAGCAUUCAGGCAGUCUUGGGAAACUGAAACACUGAACCAAUGUAAAUAGAAGGCAAUUACGUAAAGAUGAAGCCAAA
Poecile atricapillus (Black-capped chickadee) is the source of this 766-nucleotide long non-coding RNA. RefSeq lists it as uncharacterized. The transcript is spliced from 3 exons. NCBI's taxonomy places the organism in Eukaryota, Metazoa, Chordata, Aves, Passeriformes, Paridae. The record is from RefSeq and is a predicted model, not a curated record.